GCACAGCUCAGUGGGUAGAGCACGAGCCUCUUAAUCUUGGGGUUGUGGGUUUGAGCCCCACGCUGGGCG
Non-coding RNA from Pangasius djambal, 69 nucleotides. The record is from the annotation of a GenBank genome assembly. NCBI's taxonomy places the organism in Eukaryota, Metazoa, Chordata, Actinopteri, Siluriformes, Pangasiidae.